UGGAUCACCUCCUAACAGGGAGACAACAAAAUGUUUAAUAUUAUUUUGUCACCUUAGGUCGAUCGGUAUCUCACGUUCUUAAUUUAUUAAGAAUUUCAUUUCCUAAGUUUUUCUAGGUCACACCCAUUAUUUUUCCUGGGCCAUUAGCUCAGGUGGUUAGAGCGCACCCCUGAUAAGGGUGAGGUCCCUGGUUCAAGUCCAGGAUGGCCCAUAUCUCUAUGUUGGGGGUAUAGCUCAGUUGGUAGAGCGCCUGCUUUGCAAGCAGGAUGUCAGCGGUUCGAGUCCGCUUACCUCCACUGAUUACCACCUCUUCCAUAUCUAAAGAAAGGAAAUGUUUUGAGUUGUGAUCAAAUUCUGAACGAAUCUAGCUUCCUAAUGAAAUCAUUAAGAUGCUGGACUCAUUGAAUUAUUUUCAUUGUUUUCAGAGAACCUUGACAACUGCAUAGAUUAUUUUUAAAGACAAUAAGCAUCUUUAAUGAUGCAGAUUUAUUAUUUGUGCGAACGCACUAAUAACAAUUCUAUUAAGCUGAUGCUUCAAUUUUGAAGUUAUUGGUCAAGCUACAAAGGGCUCACGGAGGAUACCUAGGCACACAGAGGCGAUGAAGG
RNAcentral lists this transfer RNA (606 nucleotides) under uncultured Prochlorococcus sp. RNAcentral describes it as "partial contains 16S ribosomal RNA, 16S-23S ribosomal RNA intergenic spacer, and 23S ribosomal RNA". The stretch from base 224 to 296 matches the Rfam family "tRNA". Lineage: Bacteria; Bacillati; Cyanobacteriota; Cyanophyceae; Synechococcales; Prochlorococcaceae. The record is from RNAcentral.